CGGACGGGUGAGUAAUGUCUGGGAAACUGCCUGAUGGAGGGGGAUAACUACUGGAAACGGUGGCUAAUACCGCAUAACGUCGCAAGACCAAAGAGGGGGACCUUCGGGCCUCUUGCCAUCGGAUGUGCCCAGAUGGGAUUAGCUAGUAGGUGGGGUAAAGGCUCACCUAGGCGACGAUCCCUAGCUGGUCUGAGAGGAUGACCAGCCACACUGGAACUGAGACACGGUCCAG
RNAcentral lists this ribosomal RNA (232 nucleotides) under uncultured bacterium. Its description in RNAcentral is "partial 16S ribosomal RNA". It matches the Rfam family "Bacterial small subunit ribosomal RNA", at positions 99 to 334 of the family's 1533-position model. The record is from RNAcentral.